UUGUAUCCUACCGCAUCCUCAGCAA
This 25-nucleotide unclassified non-coding RNA is filed under the name Mus musculus (house mouse). RNAcentral describes it as "oocyte_clustered_small_RNA4836". The record is from RNAcentral. Lineage: Eukaryota; Metazoa; Chordata; Mammalia; Rodentia; Muridae.